GAUGAACGCUGGCGGCGUGCCUAAUACAUGCAAGUCGAGCGAACGGACGAGAAGCUUGCUUCUCUGAUGUUAGCGGCGGACGGGUGAGUAACACGUGGAUAACCUACCUAUAAGACUGGGAUAACUUCGGGAAACCGGAGCUAAUACCGGAUAAUAUUUUGAACCGCAUGGUUCAAAAGUGAAAGACGGUCUUGCUGUCACUUAUAGAUGGAUCCGCGCUGCAUUAGCUAGUUGGUAAGGUAACGGCUUACCAAGGCAACGAUGCAUAGCCGACCUGAGAGGGUGAUAGGCCACACUGGAACUGAGACACGGUCCAGACUCCUACGGGAGGCAGCAGUAGGGAAUCUUCCGCAAUGGGCGAAAGCCUGACGGAGCAACGCCGCGUGAGUGAUGAAGGUCUUCGGAUCGUAAAACUCUGUUAUUAGUGAAGAACAUAUGUGUCAGUAACUGUGCACAUCUUGACGGUACCUAAUCAGAAAGCCACGGCUAACUAUGUG
This 497-nucleotide ribosomal RNA is filed under the name uncultured bacterium. RNAcentral's name for it is "partial 16S ribosomal RNA". It matches the Rfam family "Bacterial small subunit ribosomal RNA", at positions 28 to 507 of the family's 1533-position model. The record is from RNAcentral.